UGACGGUACCUGACUAAGAAGCCCCGGCUAACUACGUGCCAGCAGCCGCGGUAAUACGUAGGGGGCAAGCGUUAUCCGGAUUUACUGGGUGUAAAGGGAGCGUAGACGGCAAGGCAAGUCUGAUGUGAAAACCCGGGGCUCAACCUCGGGACUGCAUUGGAAACUGUCUAGCUAGAGUGCAGGAGAGGUAAGUGGAAUUCCUAGUGUAGCGGUGAAAUGCGUAGAUAUUAGGAGGAACACCAGUGGCGAAGGCGGCUUACUGGACUGUAACUGACGUUGAGGCUCGAAAGCGUGGGGAGCAAACAGGAUUAGAUACCCUG
RNAcentral lists this ribosomal RNA (320 nucleotides) under uncultured bacterium. RNAcentral describes it as "bacterial SSU rRNA". It matches the Rfam family "Bacterial small subunit ribosomal RNA", at positions 470 to 789 of the family's 1533-position model. The record is from RNAcentral.